This 428-nucleotide ribosomal RNA is filed under the name uncultured bacterium. RNAcentral's name for it is "bacterial SSU rRNA". It matches the Rfam family "Bacterial small subunit ribosomal RNA", at positions 30 to 458 of the family's 1533-position model. The record is from RNAcentral.
AUUGAACGCUGGCGGCAUGCCUUACACAUGCAAGUCGAACGGCAGCACGGGAGCAAUCCUGGUGGCGAGUGGCGAACGGGUGAGUAAUACAUCGGAACGUGCCCAGUAGUGGGGGAUAGCCCGGCGAAAGCCGGAUUAAUACCGCAUACGACCUAAGGGUGAAAGCGGGGGAUCGCAAGACCUCGCGCUAUUGGAGCGGCCGAUGUCAGAUUAGGUAGUUGGUGGGGUAAAAGCCUACCAAGCCUUCGAUCUGUAGCUGGUCUGAGAGGACGACCAGCCACACUGGGACUGAGACACGGCCCAGACUCCUACGGGAGGCAGCAGUGGGGAAUUUUGGACAAUGGGCGCAAGCCUGAUCCAGCCAUGCCGCGUGCGGGAAGAAGGCCUUUGGGUUGUAAACCGCUUUUGUCAGGGAAGAAACGCUCUGG